GACGGGGCCGCACAAGCGGUGGAGCAUGUGGUUUAAUUCGAAGCAACGCGAAGAACCUUACCAGGUCUUGACAUCCCGAUGCUAUUUCUAGAGAUAGAAAGUACUUCGGUACAUCGGUGACAGGUGGUGCAUGGUUGUCGUCAGCUCGUGUCGUGAGAUGUUGGGUUAAGUCCCGCAACGAGCGCAACCCUCAUUGUUAGUUGCUACCAUUCAGUUGAGGACUCUAAUGAGACUGCCAACGAUAAGUUGGAGGAAGGUGGGGAUGACGUCAAAUCAUCAUGCCCUUUAUGACCUGGGCUACAAACGUACUACAAUGGCCAAUACAAAGAGAUGCGAAGCGGUGACGUGGAGCGAACCUCAGAAAGUUGGUCUCAGUUCAGAUUGAAGUCUGCAACUCGACUUCAUGAAGGCGGAAUCGCUAGUAAUCGCGGGUCAGCAGACCGCGGUGAAUACGUUCCCGGGUUUU
This 466-nucleotide ribosomal RNA is filed under the name uncultured Mollicutes bacterium. Its description in RNAcentral is "bacterial SSU rRNA". It matches the Rfam family "Bacterial small subunit ribosomal RNA", at positions 921 to 1377 of the family's 1533-position model. The record is from RNAcentral. Lineage: Bacteria; Bacillati; Mycoplasmatota; Mollicutes.